UGCAAGUCGAGCGGUAACAUUUCUAGCUUGCUAGAAGAUGACGAGCGGCGGACGGGUGAGUAAUACUUAGGAAUCUACCUAGUAGUGGGGGAUAGCACGGGGAAACUCGUAUUAAUACCGCAUACGACCUACGGGAGAAAGGGGGCAGUUUACUGCUCUCGCUAUUAGAUGAGCCUAAGUCGGAUUAGCUAGAUGGUGGGGUAAAGGCCUACCAUGGCGACGAUCUGUAGCUGGUCUGAGAGGAUGAUCAGCCACACCGGGACUGAGACACGGCCCGGACUCCUACGGGAGGCAGCAGUGGGGAAUAUUGGACAAUGGGGGAAACCCUGAUCCAGCCAUGCCGCGUGUGUGAAGAAGGCCUUUUGGUUGUAAAGCACUUUAAGCAGUGAAGAAGACUCCAUGGUUAAUACCCAUGGACGAUGACAUUAGCUGCAGAAUAAGCACCGGCUAACUCUGUGCCAGCAGCCGCGGUAAUACAGAGGGUGCAAGCGUUAAUCGGAAUUACUGGGCGUAAAGGGAGCGUAGGUGGCUCGAUAAGUCAGAUGUGAAAUCCCCGGGCUCAACCUGGGAACUGCAUCUGAUACUGUUGAGCUAGAGUAUGUGAGAGGAAGGUAGAAUUCCAGGUGUAGCGGUGAAAUGCGUAGAGAUCUGGAGGAAUACCGAUGGCGAAGGCAGCCUUCUGGCAUAAUACUGACACUGAGGCUCGAAAGCGUGGGUAGCAAACAGGAUUAGAUACCCUGGUAGUCCACGCCGUAAACGAUGUCUACUAGUCGUUGGGUCCCUUGAGGACUUAGUGACGCAGCUAACGCAAUAAGUAGACCGCCUGGGGAGUACGGCCGCAAGGUUAAAACUCAAAUGAAUUGACGGGGGCCCGCACAAGCGGUGGAGCAUGUGGUUUAAUUCGAUGCAACGCGAAGAACCUUACCUGGUCUUGACAUAUCUAGAAUCCUGCAGAGAUGCGGGAGUGCCUUCGGGAAUUAGAAUACAGGUGCUGCAUGGCUGUCGUCAGCUCGUGUCGUGAGAUGUUGGGUUAAGUCCCGCAACGAG
This 1047-nucleotide ribosomal RNA is filed under the name Psychrobacter glacincola. RNAcentral describes it as "bacterial SSU rRNA". It matches the Rfam family "Bacterial small subunit ribosomal RNA", at positions 56 to 1096 of the family's 1533-position model. Lineage: Bacteria; Pseudomonadati; Pseudomonadota; Gammaproteobacteria; Moraxellales; Moraxellaceae. The record is from RNAcentral.